Molecule: ribosomal RNA, 243 nt
Filed under: uncultured Actinomycetales bacterium
Lineage: Bacteria; Bacillati; Actinomycetota; Actinomycetes; Actinomycetales
Description: partial 16S ribosomal RNA
Rfam family: Bacterial small subunit ribosomal RNA
Source: RNAcentral
UACUCGAGUGGCGAACGGGUGAGUAACACGUGGGUGAUCUGCCCUGCACUUCGGGAUAAGCUUGGGAAACUGGGUCUAAUACCGGAUAGGAACCAUCUUUAGUGUGGUGGUUGGAAAGUUUUUUCGGUGUAGGAUGAGCUCGCGGCCUAUCAGCUUGUUGGUGGGGCAAUGGCCUACCAAGGCGGCGACGGGUAGCCGGCCUGAGAGGGUGUACGGCCACAUUGGGACUGAGAUACGGCCCAG